AUGCACGCUGGCGGCGUGCCUAAUACAUGCAAGUCGAGCGAACAGACGAGGAGCUUGCUCCUCUGACGUUAGCGGCGGACGGGUGAGUAACACGUGGAUAACCUACCUAUAAGACUGGGAUAACUUCGGGAAACCGGAGCUAAUACCGGAUAACAUGUUGAACCGCAUGGUUCAACAGUGAAAGACGGUCUUGCUGUCACUUAUAGAUGGAUCCGCGCCGCAUUAGCUAGUUGGUAAGGUAACGGCUUACCAAGGCAACGAUGCGUAGCCGACCUGAGAGGGUGAUCGGCCACACUGGAACUGAGACACGGUCCAGACUCCUACGGGAGGCAGCAGUAGGGAAUCUUCCGCAAUGGGCGAAAGCCUGACGGAGCAACGCCGCGUGAGUGAAGAAGGUCUUCGGAUCGUAAAACUCUGUUAUUAGGGAAGAACAAAUGUGUAAGUAACUAUGCACGUCUUGACGGUACCUAAUCAGAAAGCCACGGCUAACUACGUG
RNAcentral lists this ribosomal RNA (496 nucleotides) under uncultured bacterium. Its description in RNAcentral is "partial 16S ribosomal RNA". It matches the Rfam family "Bacterial small subunit ribosomal RNA", at positions 29 to 507 of the family's 1533-position model. The record is from RNAcentral.